Molecule: ribosomal RNA, 253 nt
Filed under: uncultured bacterium
Lineage: Bacteria
Description: partial 16S ribosomal RNA
Rfam family: Bacterial small subunit ribosomal RNA
Source: RNAcentral
GCAAGUCGAGCGGUAACAGAUCUAGCUUGCUAGAUGCUGACGAGCGGCGGACGGGUGAGUAACGCGUGGGCAACCUGCCCUGUAUAAAGGGAUAGCCACUGGAAACGGUGAUUAAUACCUUAUAAGACUACAGAAACACAUGUUUCAGUAGCCAAAGCUCCGGCGAUACAGGAUGGGCCCGCGUUUGAUUAGCUAGUUGGUGAGGUAAUGGCUCACCAAGGCGACGAUCAAUAGCCGACCUGAGAGGGUGAUC